UUGAUGUUAGUUGCCAGCAGGUUAAGCUGGGCACUCUAACGUGACUGCCGGUGACAAACCGGAGGAAGGUGGGGAUGACGUCAAAUCAUCAUGCCCCUUAUGACCUGGGCUACACACGUACUACAAUGGCCGGUACAACGGGGAGCGAAACCGCGAGGUGGAGCAAAUCCUUAGAAGCCGGUCUCAGUUCGGAUUGCAGGCUGCAACUCGCCUGCAUGAAGUCGGAAUUGCUAGUAAUCGCGGAUCAGCAUGCCGCGGUGAAUACGUUCCCGGGUCUUGUACACACCGCCCGUCACACCACGAGAGUUUACAACACCCGAAGCCGGUGGGGUAACC
This 336-nucleotide ribosomal RNA is filed under the name Paenibacillus sp. PA217. Its description in RNAcentral is "bacterial SSU rRNA". It matches the Rfam family "Bacterial small subunit ribosomal RNA", at positions 1105 to 1440 of the family's 1533-position model. Lineage: Bacteria; Bacillati; Bacillota; Bacilli; Caryophanales; Paenibacillaceae. The record is from RNAcentral.